UUAGGUUAGGUCUCUCUCCGGGGAAAUCUGCCGACCAUGAAGAAAAUCUGCCCGGAAACGCGGUAAAUUUGAAAAAGCAUGUUACAAACUGCAGAUUGCGCGCAUAAGAGUGUAUUUUAAACGUUUUAGAUGUGUAAGACGUGAUUUUCGAGCGAAUUCACCCCGAGAAAGUGUAUUCGGGUACCUGUAUCUCUUGUUUGCAACAGUCCCACUGCCUUAUAAGUUCGUAUACUUUUACAAAAAAUCAGCCGAACCACUUCGCAGGAACGGCAAUUUAUUUCGGGCUGUAUUCCUACUGCAGCUAGAUAAAGGUCUCGUGAGAGAAGAAACAAACUUUUCGAGGAAAACCUGAACUUUUAAAUCACACAAAAACACUUUUGCGCACGGAUCCGCCACACAAAGAUAGUCAGCUUGCGAAAAACUCACAAAAAAUUGACUCGCAAAGAAAAGAAAUGAGGAAAAUCCAAUCGACGGUGUUAUUGUGAUAUUCGAAACCUAAAAAUUGCGCAAUGGAGGCGAGAAGUCGGUCGAAAAAGAUCAGAGAGAUGAGCAACACAUUGUGUAAGCCGUGAGACGAGCAUUUGCAGAGUGGUCGUCAUAAGCAGGGUUACAUUCUGCGAUGAGAUUCUAUACCUACCUUUUCGUUAUAUGUGUGUUCCGCUCGUCGUCAAUCGAUUUUUAUUGUGACACGGCAUGUGAUGAUGGAGUCGUUUUGGAUACGCAGCGCUGUCAAGCCUACUGCAAUUCAGUGCAUGGUAGAGUUCCUCUGUUCAACAAGCCAUACAGUCAUGGAACGUGUUUCAUGAACAACUGCGUUUGCCAAUUCAACCAUUCGGGGCUGCGACCAUAUGCGGAUCCAUGUGCUGUCAGGUUUGCUAUGUCAUCCCUCGGAAACCAGAUAAAGUUCGCCGAUAGAAAAAUAGGGGCAAAAGUUGUUCGUAUGGACGCAAGAGAAAAAUUCGCGGCAUUCAAGAGGGCUUAUGGGAAGACCUAUCACACAAAAACUGAAGAGCAAAAACGUUUUAUGAUAUUCAAUGAGAACUUGGGCAAAAUCGACAGUCUCAUGGCUAGAAGAAAAGGGAGCGUCGUUUUUGGCAUUGGCCCAUACACGGACUUAAAGAG
Molecule: long non-coding RNA, 1122 nt
Filed under: Bemisia tabaci
Lineage: Eukaryota; Metazoa; Arthropoda; Insecta; Hemiptera; Aleyrodidae
Description: lncRNA ENSSSA1NGG010782
Source: RNAcentral